RNAcentral lists this ribosomal RNA (492 nucleotides) under uncultured bacterium. Its description in RNAcentral is "partial 16S ribosomal RNA". It matches the Rfam family "Bacterial small subunit ribosomal RNA", at positions 29 to 507 of the family's 1533-position model. The record is from RNAcentral.
AGUGAACGCUGGCGGUAGGCCUAACACAUGCAAGUCGAACGGCAGCACCGUAAGAGCUUGCUCUUACGGGUGGCGAGUGGCGGACGGGUGAGGAAUACAUCGGAAUCUACUUUUUCGUGGGGGAUAACGUAGGGAAACUUACGCUAAUACCGCAUACGACCUACGGGUGAAAGCAGGGGAUCUUCGGACCUUGUGCUAUUGAAUGAGCCGAUGUCGGAUUAGCUAGUUGGCGGGGUAAAGGCCCACCAAGGCGACGAUCCGUAGCUGGUCUGAGAGGAUGAUCAGCCACACUGGAACUGAGACACGGUCCAGACUCCUACGGGAGGCAGCAGUGGGGAAUAUUGGACAAUGGGCGCAAGCAUGAUCCAGCCAUGCCGCGUGGGUGAAGAAGGCCUUCGGGUUGUAAAGCCCUUUUGUUGGGAAAGAAAAGCAGCAGGUUAAUACCCCGCUGUUCUGAAGGUACCCAAAGAAUAAGCACCGGCUAACUUCGUG